GGGAUAACACUUGGAAACAGGUGCUAAUACCGCAUCAACCGGCUGACCGCAUGGUCGGCCGGGCAAAGACGGCGUCAGCUGUCGCUUUUGGAUGAGCCCGCGGCGUAUUAACUAGUUGGUAAGGUAACGGCUUACCAAGGUGAUGAUACUUAGCCGAACUGAGAGGUUGAUCGGCCACAUUGGGACUGAGACACGGCCCAAACUCCUACGGGAGGCAGCAGUAGGGAAUCUUCCACAAUGGACGCAAGUCUGAUGGAGCAACGCCGCGUGUAUGAAGAAGGUCUUCGGAUCGUAAAAUACUGUUGUCAGAGAAGAACACGUGAUAUAGUAACUGCUAUCUCUCUGACGGUAUCUGACCAGCAAGUCACGGCUAACUACGUGCCAGCAACCGCGGUAAUACUAUGUGGUAAGCGGUCAACGGACUUUUGGGCGUAAAGGAACGCAUGCGGUCUUUUAGUCUGAUGUGAAGCCUUCCGCUUACCGGAGAAGUGCAUUGGAACUGGAAGACUUGAGUGCAAAGAGGAGAGUGAACUCAUGUGUAGCGGUGAAUGCGUGAUUAUGGAAAACCCAGUGGCGAAGCGCUCUCUGGCUGUACUGACCUGAGGUCGAAGCGUGGGAGCGACAGGAUAAAUACCUGGUAGUCACGCUGCAACUAUGAUGCUUGUGUCGAAGGUUCCGCCCUUCGGGCCGUAG
RNAcentral lists this ribosomal RNA (693 nucleotides) under Ligilactobacillus acidipiscis. RNAcentral describes it as "bacterial SSU rRNA". It matches the Rfam family "Bacterial small subunit ribosomal RNA", at positions 140 to 851 of the family's 1533-position model. The record is from RNAcentral. Lineage: Bacteria; Bacillati; Bacillota; Bacilli; Lactobacillales; Lactobacillaceae.